This 200-nucleotide long non-coding RNA is filed under the name Lathyrus oleraceus (garden pea). RNAcentral's name for it is "Pisum sativum (pea) long non-coding RNA (PSAT_LNC021433)". Lineage: Eukaryota; Viridiplantae; Streptophyta; Magnoliopsida; Fabales; Fabaceae. The record is from RNAcentral.
UUCUCCCCCUUUUUAGCCAAAAGAGACCAAAGAGACAAAAUAAAUGUCUAUUACUCAAACAGAAUGUCACACAGAAUAUCAAAGUAGAUUGUUAAAAGAGACCAACUGAGAUAAAAUCCAGAAAAUCAAAAAAACUAGAAAAAUACAUCAAGGCAUCACAACAUGACUGCCAAAAGAACCACCAGAACAUCCAUCACAAC